GUAGCGGCGAGUGAAGCGGCAAGAGCUCAGAUUUGAAAUCGUGGGCACGAGUUGUAGAGUGUAGGCGGGAGUCUCGGUGUCCAAGUCCCUUGCCUGAGAGGGUGAGAGCCCCGUGGGGUGCGCGAAGCUUGCUGACGAGUCGAGUUGUUUGGGAAUGCAGCUCGGGUGGUAAAUUCCAUCUAAGGCUAAAUACUGGCGAGAGACCGAUAGCGAACAAGUACUGUGAAGGAAAGAUGAAAAGCACUUUGAAAAGAGAGUGAAACAGCACGUGAAAUUGUUGAAAGGGAAGGGUAUUGGGCCCGACAUGGGGAGUGCGCACCGCUGUCUCUUGUAGGCGGCGCUCUGGGCGCUCUCUGGGCCAGCAUCGGUUCUUGCUGCGGCCGGAAAGUGGCUCUUCGGAGUGUUAUAGCCGGCGCGUGCGGGGACCGAGGUCUGUCUCGGAUGCUGGCACAACGGCGCAAUACCGCCCG
This 470-nucleotide ribosomal RNA is filed under the name Pichia ethanolica. RNAcentral describes it as "eukaryotic LSU rRNA". It matches the Rfam family "Eukaryotic large subunit ribosomal RNA", at positions 83 to 651 of the family's 3401-position model. Lineage: Eukaryota; Fungi; Ascomycota; Pichiomycetes; Pichiales; Pichiaceae. The record is from RNAcentral.